CAAUAGCGUAUAUUAAAGUUGUUGCAGUUAAAAAGCUCGUAGUUGGAUUUCUGGGAGAGUGGCGAUGUCCGCUUAACGUGUGUGCAGCGACGCUCUUCCAUCCUUCUGUUAGCGUCUCUCGGCAUUCAUUUGUCGGUGGCGGGCUCAGAUAUUUUACCUUGAGAAAAUUAGAGUGUUUCAGGCAGGCUAGGCCGGAAUACAUUAGCAUGGAAUAAUGGAAUAGGACUACGGUCUCUUUGUUGGUUUGAGGGACUGCAGUAAUGAUUAAUAGGGAUAGUUGGGGGCAUUAGUAUUUAAUUGUCAGAGGUGGAAUUCUCAGAUUUGUUAAAGACUAACUUAUGCGAAAGCAUUUGCCAAGGAUGUUUNCAUUA
RNAcentral lists this ribosomal RNA (371 nucleotides) under uncultured eukaryote. RNAcentral's name for it is "partial 18S ribosomal RNA". It matches the Rfam family "Eukaryotic small subunit ribosomal RNA", at positions 592 to 975 of the family's 1831-position model. The record is from RNAcentral.